Drosophila elegans is the source of this 791-nucleotide long non-coding RNA. RefSeq lists it as uncharacterized. NCBI's taxonomy places the organism in Eukaryota, Metazoa, Arthropoda, Insecta, Diptera, Drosophilidae. The record is from RefSeq and is a predicted model, not a curated record. The transcript is spliced from 3 exons.
UCGGAUUCAAUUUGGCAGAACUCCGUUUAUUUCGAACAGCUGUGCGCUGAUUUGUGGGGAUUUUCCAGGGAUUUGGGCAAACAAUAAUUGCUUUCAUUAAAACAGCAUCAGAUGAUCACCGAAGAAAAAAAGCAAAGCCAAAUGAGUGAGACAUUCAUAUUAAUGUCUAAAUUACAAAGCAAACGAGAAAUGCGGUAAAUUUUUCAAAACCAGAAAGUAACAACCCGAAAUUCGAAAUUUUCCUCGUUUUUUCUCUGUCGGGAAGUUGUGGGCGCAAACUGCAAAGGGAAUGAAAAUGCUGAUAAAUGAGCAAGAUAAGUGCUGGCGAUAACUCGGCGUAGACGUCGGAAUGUCUGACUCAGAUGGAGAACCAGAAAUCAAGAUCGGGAUCCAAUCUCUCACAUUUAUGCGCCGCUAAUUUCGGAUUUUAUUAAACGGUCAUCGCAGCAGCAGCAGCAGCAGCAGCGCAUAUAAAAAUCGGUAUUCCUACUCAUCUUUUCUCACUCAUUCCAUUUUUGAAUAUCAUCGUAAAUAAUUAAACAUACCGGGCACGUCGUUAUGGGUCUGCGGCAUAGGAAAAAAAGAACACAUAUAUAUGAAGUACUCAUAUUUAAUUUCAAUUUCAUGUCACAGACUUCUGGCUGCUUCUCGGCUGAUGCUGCAGAUAAUUAUUAUGCCGACUGCAUUAGAGUUCUUGGCUGGGAGCUCUGUUUGAAAUCCACAAACACUCCCAUUGCCAAUUGCAAUUAAGUGAAGUGACGGGCAAAAUGCGACUAGUAAUCAAAAAUCCU